GUGUCAGCAGCCGCGGUAAGACGUAGGGUGCAAGCGUUGUCCGGAUUUAUUGGGCGUAAAGAGCUCGUAGGCGGCUUGUUGCGUCGACCGUGAAAACCUGUGGCUUAACCACAGGCCUGCGGUCGAUACGGGCAGGCUGGAGUUCGGUAGGGGAGACUGGAAUUCCUGGUGUAGCGGUGAAAUGCGCAGAUAUCAGGAGGAACACCGGUGGCGAAGGCGGGUCUCUGGGCCGAUACUGACGCUGAGGAGCGAAAGCGUGGGGAGCGAACAGGAUUAGAAACCCCCGUAGUCC
RNAcentral lists this ribosomal RNA (292 nucleotides) under uncultured bacterium. RNAcentral's name for it is "partial 16S ribosomal RNA". It matches the Rfam family "Bacterial small subunit ribosomal RNA", at positions 505 to 796 of the family's 1533-position model. The record is from RNAcentral.